UUGUAGAGUGGAAAGUCACUCUCCUACCUCUGUGCACCCCCUCCCACCUCUGCUUCCCAGAGGCCUCCCGUUUUCCCAGUUUCUGUGUGAAACGCCAGAACAUCUGUGUAUAUACAGGAAAACAGACACACAGAGACACACGAACACGUACACCUUAGUCCACAGCACACAGUCUCAUUGCCUCAAUGUUUAAAAAACAGUUGUGACUUUUAAACAUGGCACAUUGAUGUAUUCCCCAUCUGUGUGCCCCUGCUCCCCUCUGGUGUCCCCCCAAUAGCCAGCAUUCCCAGGCGUUCUUCCUCCGGACAGUCUGUGCAUGUGUAACCAGUUCCUUAAUAAUAACACAGCCCUGAUGCUGAUUUGUAAGAACUUGGCCUGUCCGGUUCUGUCUCUUCUCUAGCAUGUAAACACCGGCUCCGGUACAGAGUACAUGCUCAACAAAUAUUUAGGGAAUGAAAUCAUAAACACAAGCAUCAGCCUUAUCUCCCUACUCUCUCUCCAUUUUCAAAUCUAUCUCGCAAGUUUGAUUGAUUCUCCUGUGGGAAUUCUCAAAUUCAUCUCUUCCUUGCUUUUUCUGUGAUCACGGCCCAAACUCGGGAUCUAUCGCUGUUUGCCUCAGACUGUUACACCUCCUAAGGAAUCUCCUAGCUGCUCCUCGUGCAGAUCAAUAGCUCCACACAGAGGUCGUGUCACAUGGGUCGGAGCGCCGGGCUCAGAAGCAGACUGCCCAGACAGACAUUCAGAUGACAGUCCCGCCUGCUGUCGGCAGAGUGCAUGCCGAGUAGGAUGAAUGGGACACAGACACGUCAGGGCGUCAGGGUGUGACCGCUGCCCGGCCAGGGCUCAGGUUGUGCGGAGAGGCCGCACGUGUAAGUACCCCCCGCACGACUUGCAGGAUGGAGGCGGGUCAGAGCUGGACCCUGAGACGGGAGCAAACUUUGCCAGCACUGCUGGGGUCCGUCUCUAGGACACAGCGGACCUUCCUGAUGGCAGAUCCUGGCAAAAUGCUAGAACCGUGGGUGACAUCGGGUGAACAGGCAUGUCCGGUGCGGUGCCACAGCCCGCUGGUCGCAUUACUGGACGGUGACCGCCCGUCAUUCCUACGCCAUCCUUGUCCUCAUACUCAGAGUACCUGGUGUUUGCUGGUUCCCUGCUUCAGCCACGAGCCGGUUUUGUUCCCAAAGAGCAUGAAGCCUGCUGUGCAGAAGGGACCUUAGGGUCACCCAGGCCAGCCUCCUCAUGCUGUAAAUGAGGCAGCCCAGCUCUGAUAGAAGAACUUGCUUGCUUAGAGGCCAUUAAGCAUUUCCUUCAUCCAUUUCCUUAAUGACAAAGGUACUUACACUCAGGUGUAUUAUAACUGUCAGUUUUGGACAUUUAUUAAGCCUCUAUCUCAUGACCAACCCAGCAGAAAGCGUCUGUGCCCGGGUGUUAGCUGAUGAGUGGAGUUAAGUGCCCCAGAAACUCCUGAUGCCCGUCCCUGCAUCCCUGCACCCCUGCUGGUAGAGAGACAUGACGGUGAGAAGCACGUGGUCCUGCACUCAGACUGCUUCUCAGGCUCUGUGCAGCGUUUCAUGGAACAGACAGUUCAUGAAAGAUAAAUAGAUGCUGUUAAUUUGGCAUAAAGCAAGUGAAGUUCUUCUCUUCUUCCUAACGUGCACCUGAAGUUAUCAGGGGCUUAGAGAAGCCCCUGGUAAUGCCCACUUGUGAACCCCAACCUACCAGUCCUUCCACAGAGAAAAUCAUGUGACAAAUCAUAUUGGGGUUCUGUGUCACUGAAGCAAGCUCCCCCUAAAAAUAAGUAAAUAAAAACAACCCAGGUGUGUCAGUUAACACCUGAGAAAAUAAACACAACUAAAGGCAGAGCAUGAGAAGACCCAGUUAAAAUACUUCGUGAUGUUCACUGCUCAUAGUGAAGAUGCCAUUUUAAACAAAGAAUGAAGUGACACAAAAUAUACAAAAAAACUACUUAGUCACAUGCUUUUCAAAAAAUUCUGGAAAUUUUUUGCCUUAUGUUGGAUUCUCUUGCCGUGCAUCACUCAAAGCAUGAAAAUAACAUGUUUGCGGGAAAAUCACAGCUUCAUAAAUCACAGUGCAGUUUAAUCAAAUUGCAUCAUCAAGUCUUUAUUUCCACAUUCACGAAUAUGUAAGAGUUUCAUGUACCAGGGACACUUGGUAAAAGUUGGGUUUUUUUACUGGUAUACUCUUAACUAUUCAGCACAACAAAAAUUUCAGUGCCUUUUACUCGUGUUUCAUAAAGUACUUUUCUUCAGACUUCAAUUAACCAAAGGCACAUUGGCAUCAGAAGGCUGGCAUACCUCACAGUAUCAGACUGGAAUAGGAAGUCAUGUUCUGUUCAUUUGGCGAGAGGCCAGUGUCACUUCGGGGAGCACUAUACCUAUAAGCAAAUGCAAUUUUGCUUUAAAUCCUCUUUUCACUCUGAAAGGAAAUUUUCGGUGUGUAAGGGGGAAAUAGGGCCAAUGGGAGAAAGAGAAAUCUUUGUUGAGACUGGCAACUCUCCAAUGAGCAAAAUAUGGACAAGUUUUAUAAGUUAUAUUCUUCCAUCCACAAGGGCAGCAAUGUACUCUUCAGUAAAUAUCUAUUGAGUGAAAAGACUAUAUUAAUUGUUCUUACAGCUAGAUUUUUAUCUUCCGUUGUUCAACUGAGAAGAUGCUAUAAUUCCAAAAUGAUGCUAUCAGCCACGAUCAUUAUCUGCCUGAGUGGGUGUUGCUGAAAAGACCGAUACUGGGUCACUCUGGUGCUCUUGGGUGCAGUACGUUUUUUUCCACCUAAGAAUUAAGGUUAAAAGGGCUUCAUGCCUGUAACUUACUCUUAAAUGGCUCCGAAAAAAUUGAGUGUGUAUAUAAAUAGAAACAUAGACAUAUACAAUGUUAUAAUGUGAAGACCAUCUGGGAUUCCGUGUACCAUUCUUGCAACUUUUCUGUACAUCUGAAAUUAUAUUAAAAAGUACUUAAGUGGAGUUAAGAUUCCUGGAAGUGAAGUAUACUUUGAUAAGUGAUGGAAUGUUAGAAUUCUUUUUAAUUGAGAGAUAGUUCAUAUACCAUAAUGAAAUAACUUUUUAAAAAUUGACUCAUGAAAAUAUCAAUUAUGAUAUCAAAUUAUUAUAAAAAUAUAUAUUAUAAAAAUA
Long non-coding RNA from Manis pentadactyla (Chinese pangolin), 3145 nucleotides. RefSeq lists it as uncharacterized. Lineage: Eukaryota; Metazoa; Chordata; Mammalia; Pholidota; Manidae. The record is from RefSeq and is a predicted model, not a curated record. The transcript is spliced from 2 exons.